Molecule: ribosomal RNA, 1339 nt
Filed under: uncultured bacterium
Lineage: Bacteria
Description: bacterial SSU rRNA
Rfam family: Bacterial small subunit ribosomal RNA
Source: RNAcentral
GAUGAACGCUGGCGGCGUGCUUAACACAUGCAAGUCGAACGGAAAGGCCGAAGCUUGCUUCGGUACUCGAGUGGCGAACGGGUGAGUAACACGUGGGUGAUCUGCCCUGCACUUUGGGAUAAGCCUGGGAAACUGGGUCUAAUACCAGAUAGGACCACGUCUUGGAUGGUGUGGUGGAAAGUUUUUUCGGUGUGGGAUGAGCUCGCGGCCUAUCAGCUUGUUGGUGGGGUAAUGGCCUACCAAGGCGUCGACGGGUAGCCGGCCUGAGAGGGUGUACGGCCACAUUGGGACUGAGAUACGGCCCAGACUCCUACGGGAGGCAGCAGUGGGGAAUAUUGCACAAUGGGCGCAAGCCUGAUGCAGCGACGCCGCGUGGGGGAUGACGGCCUUCGGGUUGUAAACUCCUUUCGCCAGGGACGAAGCGUAAGUGACGGUACCUGGAUAAGAAGCACCGGCUAACUACGUGCCAGCAGCCGCGGUAAUACGUAGGGUGCGAGCGUUGUCCGGAAUUACUGGGCGUAAAGAGCUCGUAGGUGGUUUGUCGCGUCGUUUGUGUAAUACCGCAGCUUAACUGCGGGGUUGCAGGCGAUACGGGCAUAACUUGAGUGCUGUAGGGGAGACUGGAAUUCCUGGUGUAGCGGUGGAAUGCGCAGAUAUCAGGAGGAACACCGAUGGCGAAGGCAGGUCUCUGGGCAGUAACUGACGCUGAGGAGCGAAAGCAUGGGUAGCGAACAGGAUUAGAUACCCUGGUAGUCCAUGCCGUAAACGGUGGGCGCUAGGUGUGAGUCCCUUCCACGGGGUUCGUGCCGUAGCUAACGCAUUAAGCGCCCCGCCUGGGGAGUACGGCCGCAAGGCUAAAACUCAAAGGAAUUGACGGGGGCCCGCACAAGCGGCGGAGCAUGUGGAUUAAUUCGAUGCAACGCGAAGAACCUUACCUGGGCUUGACAUGCACCGGAUCGCUGCAGAGAUGUAGUUUCCCUUGUGGCUGGUGUACAGGUGGUGCAUGGUUGUCGUCAGCUCGUGUCGUGAGAUGUUGGGUUAAGUCCCGCAACGAGCGCAACCCUUGUCUUAUGUUGCCAGCAUUUGGUUGGGGACUCAUGAGAGACUGCCGGGGUUAACUCGGAGGAAGGUGGGGAUGACGUCAAAUCAUCAUGCCCCUUAUGUCCAGGGCUUCACACAUGCUACAAUGGUCGGUACAACGCGCAGCUACUUCGUGAGGAGGCGCUAAUCGCUGAAAGCCGGUCUUAGUUCGGAUUGGGGUCUGCAACUCGACCCCAUGAAGUCGGAGUCGCUAGUAAUCGUAGAUCAGCAACGCUGCGGUGAAUACGUUCCCGGGCCU